UCCUACGGGAGGCAGCAGUGGGGAAUAUUGGUCAAUGGGCGGGAGCCUGAACCAGCCAAGCCGCGUGAAGGAAGAAGGCGCCAGGCGUCGUAAACUUCUUUUGUCGGGGAACAAAGGGCGCCACGUGUGGCGUUGUGAGUGUACCCGAAGAAAAAGCAUCGGCUAACUCCGUGCCAGCAGCCGCGGUAAUACGUAGGGAGCGAGCGUUAUCCGGAAUUAUUGGGUGUAAAGGGUGCGUAGACGGGAACUUAAGUUAGUUGUGAAAUCCCUUAGCUCAACUAAGGAAUGGCAACUGAAACUGGGUU
Molecule: ribosomal RNA, 305 nt
Filed under: uncultured bacterium
Lineage: Bacteria
Description: bacterial SSU rRNA
Rfam family: Bacterial small subunit ribosomal RNA
Source: RNAcentral